CCUACGGGAGGCAGCAGUGAGGAAUAUUGGUCAAUGGGCGCGAGCCUGAACCAGCCAAGUAGCGUGAAGGAUGACUGCCCUACGGGUUGUAAACUUCUUUUAUAAAGGAAUAAAGUGCGGCACGUGUGCCUUUUUGUAUGUACUUUAUGAAUAAGGAUCGGCUAACUCCGUGCCAGCAGCCGCGGUAAUACGGAGGGUCCGAGCGUUAUCCGGAUUUAUUGGGUUUAAAGGGAGCGUAGAUGGGUUGUUAAGUCAGUUGUGAAAGUUUGCGGCUCAACCGUAAAAUUGCAAUUGAUACUGGCAGGCUGGAGUACAGUUGGGGUAGGCGGAAUUCGUGGUGUAGCGGUGAAAUGCGUAGAUAUCACGAAGAACUCCGAUUGCGAAGGCAGCUUACUAAACUGCGACUGACAUUGAUGCGCGAAAGUGUGGGUAUCAAACAGGAUUAGAUACCCCGGUAGUC
RNAcentral lists this ribosomal RNA (460 nucleotides) under uncultured bacterium. Its description in RNAcentral is "partial 16S ribosomal RNA". It matches the Rfam family "Bacterial small subunit ribosomal RNA", at positions 338 to 795 of the family's 1533-position model. The record is from RNAcentral.